UACGGAGGAUGCAAGCGUUAUCUGGAAUGAUUGGGCGUAAAGCGUCCGCAGGUGGCGAUGUAAGUCUGCUGUUAAAGAGUGAGGCUCAACCUCAUAAGAGCAGUGGAAACUACAUAGCUAGAGUGCGGUAGGGGCAGAGGGAAUUCCUGGUGUAGCGGUGAAAUGCGUAGAGAUCAGGAAGAACACCGGUGGCGAAAGCGCUCUGCUAGGCCGCAACUGACACUGAGGGACGAAAGCUAGGGGAGCGAAUGGG
RNAcentral lists this ribosomal RNA (253 nucleotides) under uncultured bacterium. RNAcentral's name for it is "partial 16S ribosomal RNA". It matches the Rfam family "Bacterial small subunit ribosomal RNA", at positions 524 to 776 of the family's 1533-position model. The record is from RNAcentral.